This 253-nucleotide ribosomal RNA is filed under the name uncultured bacterium. RNAcentral describes it as "partial 16S ribosomal RNA". It matches the Rfam family "Bacterial small subunit ribosomal RNA", at positions 524 to 776 of the family's 1533-position model. The record is from RNAcentral.
UACAGAGGGUGCGAGCGUUAAUCGGAAUUACUGGGCGUAAAGGGUGCGUAGGCGGUAUUUUAAGUUAGAUGUGAAAUCCCCGGGCUUAACCUGGGAAUUGCAUUUAAGACUGGGAUGCUGGAGUAGAGUAGAGGGAAGUGGAAUUUCCGGUGUAGCGGUGAAAUGCGUAGAUAUCGGAAGGAACACCAGUGGCGAAAGCGGCGCACUGGACCACUACUGACGCUGAGGCGCGAAAGCUAGGGGAGCAAACGGG